CGCCGCGUCCUCGAGCGCGCCCUCGACAUCGCUAUCGGCCGCAUCCGUAGCUGGGGCUCGGACUACGACGUGUCGGGAGUGCUUGCUGAUGUGAGCGCAGCGUCAGGCACUGACGAGCGACUCGUCAUCGCCUGCGAGCUCAUUAGCGACGGUCCAAAAGUACACGACGA
Molecule: unclassified non-coding RNA, 170 nt
Filed under: plant metagenome
Description: partial contains 5.8S ribosomal RNA, internal transcribed spacer 2, and large subunit ribosomal RNA
Source: RNAcentral